Molecule: microRNA precursor, 75 nt
Organism: Neotoma lepida (desert woodrat)
Lineage: Eukaryota; Metazoa; Chordata; Mammalia; Rodentia; Cricetidae
Source: Rfam
UGCAAUGCUUUAUUCAGUUUGAUGCCUGUCAUGUGAAAUAUGUAUGACUGGCACCAUACUGGAUAAUGUAAUGCU